AUCCAGCUGACGAGUCCCGAAUAAAACGAAACGCGCGUCAAACUGGAU
This 48-nucleotide non-coding RNA is filed under the name Schistosoma mansoni. The record is from RNAcentral. Lineage: Eukaryota; Metazoa; Platyhelminthes; Trematoda; Strigeidida; Schistosomatidae.